This 373-nucleotide unclassified non-coding RNA is filed under the name uncultured bacterium. RNAcentral's name for it is "contains 16S-23S intergenic spacer region". The record is from RNAcentral.
UCCCGUUUAACACGGGCAGUCUCCGUAGAGCGCCACAGCAUUACCUGGGGGCAACUACGGAUAGGGGUUGCGCUCGUUGCGGGACUUAACCCAACACCUCACGGCACGAGUUGACGACAGCCAUGCAGCAUCUGUGCACGGACCCGAAGGAGACCGGCUUUCACCGGCUGUCCCGUGCAUGUCAAGCCCUGGUAAGGUUCUUCGCGUAGCUUCGAAUUAAACCGCACGCUCCGCUGCUUGUGCGGGCCCCCGUCAAUUCCUUUGAGUUUCAAUCUUGCGAUCGUACUCCCCAGGUGGAAUACUUAACGCUUUCGCUUAGACGCGUACUGUGUAUCGCACACAUCGAGUAUUCAACGUUUACAGCGUGGACUAC